Molecule: non-coding RNA, 31 nt
Filed under: Rattus norvegicus (Norway rat)
Lineage: Eukaryota; Metazoa; Chordata; Mammalia; Rodentia; Muridae
Source: RNAcentral
UGGACUUUAAUCUGUGGGCCAUGGGAAGAUU